This 334-nucleotide unclassified non-coding RNA is filed under the name soil metagenome. RNAcentral describes it as "partial contains 5.8S ribosomal RNA, internal transcribed spacer 2, and large subunit ribosomal RNA". The stretch from base 1 to 120 matches the Rfam family "5.8S ribosomal RNA", at positions 35 to 154 of the family's 154-position model. The record is from RNAcentral.
GAUGAAGAACGUAGCGAAAUGCGAUAAGUAAUGUGAAUUGCAGAAUUCAGUGAAUCAUCGAAUCUUUGAACGCACAUAGCGCCCGCCAGUAUUCUGGCGAGCAUGCCUGUUCGAGCGUCAUUUCAACCAUCAAGCCCCAGGCUUGUGUUGGAGCCCUGCGGCUGCCGCAGCCUCCCAAAACCAGUGGCGGGCUCGCUAUCACACCGAGUGCAGUAGUUUACUCUUCGCUCAGGGCGUGUGGCGGGUGCUAGCCGUGAAACCCCCAACUUCUCAAGGUUGACCUCGGAUCAGGUAGGAAUACCCGCUGAACUUAAGCAUAUCAAUAAGCGGAGGA